Non-coding RNA from Schistosoma margrebowiei, 78 nucleotides. Lineage: Eukaryota; Metazoa; Platyhelminthes; Trematoda; Strigeidida; Schistosomatidae. The record is from Rfam.
ACCCUUCUGUAUCCAUUCUGAGGUUUCGUCACACGUCAGACCACAAGGGCUGAUGAGACUCUCAAAAUAAAUGAAGCG